Molecule: long non-coding RNA, 301 nt
Filed under: Lupinus angustifolius (narrow-leaved blue lupine)
Lineage: Eukaryota; Viridiplantae; Streptophyta; Magnoliopsida; Fabales; Fabaceae
Description: long non-coding RNA (LANG_LNC001874)
Source: RNAcentral
GCAAAAUUAAAUUUACUUCAAUCAAAUUAAUGAACUUAUAAUUCUUAAUUAAUAUUUUGACAUCAUAUAUUUUAAUAAUAUUAAUAAUUUAUUUAAGGGCUUAAGAAUAAUUAAUAUAAUUUUAAUAAUCUUAUGACGUGAAACUCAUACUGCUUUGUUUGGUUGAAGAGCGAAAAAUAAGAGAAGAGAGAAAUGUGAGAAAGAGAGAGAAGAAAGAAAGAUAUAACAAAUAUAAUAGAUUUGUGUAUUGUUUGGUUUGAUAGAAAGAGAAAAGAAAGAGAAGAGAAAGAUAUAUAUGAAU